Long non-coding RNA from Thalassophryne amazonica, 172 nucleotides. RefSeq lists it as uncharacterized. The transcript is spliced from 3 exons. The record is from RefSeq and is a predicted model, not a curated record. NCBI's taxonomy places the organism in Eukaryota, Metazoa, Chordata, Actinopteri, Batrachoidiformes, Batrachoididae.
AAUGUAAGUUUUUGAUGCAGUGCUGCCUGAGAGAUCGAAGUUCACAGGCAUUCGAUGUUGGUUUUUCGGCCUUGCCGCUUACGUGUAGAAAGUUCUCCAGAUUCUCUGAAUCUUCUGAUUAUAUUAUGGGCUGUAGAUGAUGGAAUCCCUAAAUUCCUUGCAACUAAAUGUG